GGGAAUUUAGUUAAAUAUAACAUUUAGUCUGCAUCUAAAAAGUAUUGAAAUUCAAUAUUUCUCA
This 64-nucleotide transfer RNA is filed under the name Hydroporus obscurus. RNAcentral's name for it is "tRNA-Ala". The record is from RNAcentral. Lineage: Eukaryota; Metazoa; Arthropoda; Insecta; Coleoptera; Dytiscidae.